Molecule: long non-coding RNA, 751 nt
Organism: Poecilia latipinna (sailfin molly)
Lineage: Eukaryota; Metazoa; Chordata; Actinopteri; Cyprinodontiformes; Poeciliidae
Exons: 3
Source: RefSeq, a predicted model, not a curated record
GAAAUGUAGUCUUUUAUAACAAUGUAUUAAAGAAGAUGAAUUCUGACAAGGCUAUUAAAAUGAUAUGAGGGAGAAUCUUCCUUCAGUUCAGGAAGCUAAGGUUCUUAUUUUAGAAUUACUCUGACCAUUAAACAGACACGGUUAAGGACACCUAUAAGAAAAUUGGAUAUAUUACCUUAUUAAAAGAAAAAAGGGAAUGACAUUGGAUGCUUUCUUCACAUUUACCCUGCCUCUUAUGGCUGAUGUUGACAGGACUGUGAGUUUGCCAAGCGGCUACAGAGGUAGUGAUGAGCAGAUGGUUAAACUAACCUGCCAAAAAUCUCUUGAAAGUCAUUCAACAAAAUGUGGUAGAGCAGCAGACCGUCUGGCACGACAGGAUAUACACGGACGGCAAAGACGGUUGCUUUAGUCAGCACAUCAAAUCAUUUUAAAAUUGCUUAAGGUUCUGUAAUAAACACAUCUAUGAUGAGGCAAAAAUAUUCCCUAAUGUUGGCUGCAUAAACAAAAUAACUAAAGCAGCACCAGUGGAACCAAAUACUUCCAGUGUGGUAUUACUUAUUCAAAAGAAAAAAAAAAAACAUUUAAGUUAUCCUUAUAAGGUGUGCUGUAGUGGCGCAGGGGUUAAGCACAACCCACAUAUGGAGGCUUUAGUCCUCGACGCGGCUGUAGCAGGUUUGAUUGCCAGCCUUGGCGACCUUUGCUGCAUGUCUUCCCCCUUCUCUCAUUGCCCACUUUCCUGAUGAACAUGUUG